UGACCCGAAACACACCUCCAAACUGUGUACGGGCUAUUUGACCAAGGAGAGUGAUUGAGUGCUGCGUCUCCACAAUCAUUCAACCUCAAACCAGUUGAGAUGGUUUGGAAUGAGCUGGACCGCAGAGUGAAGGAAAAGCAGCCAACAAGUACAUAUGUGGGAACUCCUUCAAGACUGUUGGAAAAUAAUUCCAGGUUAUUGUCCUGCUGAACGGUGAAUUUGUCUCCCAGUGUCUUUUGGAAAGCAGACUGAACCAGGGUUUCGUCUAGGAUUUUGCCUGUGCUUAGCUCUAUUCUGUUUCUUUUUAUUCUAAAAAUCUCCCUACUCCAAGCUGAUGACAAGAAUACCCAUAACAUGAUGCAGCCACCACCAUGCUUGAAAAUAUGUACUGUAGAGUGGAACUCAGUGAUGUGUUGGAUUUUCCCCAAACAUAAUCCUUUGUAUUCUAGACAAAGUUAAUUUAAUUGCCAAAUGUUUGCAGUUUACUUUAGUGCCUUAUUGCAAGGCAUGCAUGUUAUUUUUAUUCUGUACAGGCUUCCUUCUUUUCAAUCUGUUAUUUAGGUUACUAUUGUGCAGUAACUAUAAUGUUGUUGAUCCAUCCUCAGUUUUCACCUAUCACAGCCAUUAAACUCUUUAACUGUUUUAAAGUCA
Long non-coding RNA from Oncorhynchus keta (chum salmon), 651 nucleotides. RefSeq lists it as uncharacterized. NCBI's taxonomy places the organism in Eukaryota, Metazoa, Chordata, Actinopteri, Salmoniformes, Salmonidae. The transcript has 2 exons. The record is from RefSeq and is a predicted model, not a curated record.